GUAGUCGUGGCCGAGUGGUUAAGGCGAUGGACUUGAAAUCCUGCGCAGGUUCAAAUCCUGCCGACUACG
This is a non-coding RNA of Rana temporaria (common frog), 69 nucleotides long. Lineage: Eukaryota; Metazoa; Chordata; Amphibia; Anura; Ranidae. The record is from the annotation of a RefSeq genome assembly.